Molecule: long non-coding RNA, 2313 nt
Organism: Anas platyrhynchos (mallard)
Lineage: Eukaryota; Metazoa; Chordata; Aves; Anseriformes; Anatidae
Source: RefSeq, a predicted model, not a curated record
UGAAUCGGUAAUGAGUUUGUCAUUCACAAAAACGGAAAGGAAUUUCCGCUCCGGAUAAGCCGAGUGCAAACAAGCGGCGGCCGCGGCGCGGCGGGCGGAGGCCGCGGGGGCAGGUGAGGGGGCGAGGCUCUGCCCCUGCUCCCAGCAAGGCCGCCCCGGGGGGGCACCCUCCUGCCCCUCUUGCUCCCCCUCAGCGCCUUUUCUCCGAGCCCCCAGCCUGCGGGGAGCCGGCCGCGUGUCCCCCCAUUAUCCCCCAUCGCCCCCACCACCACCCCCAGCCUGGCUCUCCCCUAGGAAGUGGGGGGGGGCAGCCCUGUCCUCAGCUGAUCCCCACGGGAUCCCCGCCCCCGUUAACCCCGCAGCCCCCCCCCAGACACACACACCCACAGACACGCACACACACACACAGACACACACACGUCCCCGGGUGGAGCCCCCCCCGCCGCCACCCGUCCCCCCCCGCUGUCCCCGCGGCGGGCGGAAGGAGGCUGCGGCCCCGCAGCGGGGGGGCUGCGGGAACGGGGCCCGGCGGAGCGGCGCCGGGGGAGCCGGGGCCGGAGGGGGGGCGGGAGGAGCGGCGCCGGGGGCGGCGGAGCGGGGAGCGGGGGCGGCCGGAGGCCGGGCGGGGCGGCUGCGAGGUGCGGCUUUAGCGCACGGCUGAGCGAAAAGCCAGGAGCGAAAAUAAACCGGGAGAAGCCUCGAGGCUAAUCCCGCUGCUGGCGGCGUCUGCCCCGGAGGAAAAUCGUUCCGGUGAGGCCGGUCCCGCCGCUGCUGCGCUGCCGGGCGGUUAUUUUUAACCCCGGCUGGAGGAGGCUCCUCAGGUAGCGAGCGGCUGCCGAGCAGCCCCGCGUCCCCCCGCAGAAGCCCCCAGUGAUGCUGAGGGAGCUGGCACAGCACCCGCCGCAGGGUCCGGACAGGCUGACACCCAGGUGGCACCAGCGACAGCCGCCCCAGCAGGGACUUGGACAGGAUCCUCGAUUGCUGCUUGUUUCGAAGGCUUGUGAGCAGGGCUUCAGCGUUACAUAAAUUCUGCGCUGCCCCUACACGGGAGAAUUUGGCCAGUGUGAGACACAGGACACUCACACCCCACCUGCUUUGUCCCACGAAUUGUCGGGGCCACCGUGCCCACCACGGCCCUGACCGCUCUCCUUAAAGGGUUUCCAGGCCGGUGCUGCCAGGUGCUUCCCCUGCUCGGCUCUGUAUUUCAAGGCACACUAUCUAAACGUUCAGAAUCGUGACAGAUCAAAGCAGGAGCCUUCGUGUAUUUUAUUAUGAUUUUGAUUUUUUUCCCCUCUGCUAUAUUUAAGCCUUUUGUUCUCACCCAGGCCAGGGCUCAGGCAGGUCAGCAAACUUCGGAGCUGGCACCAUCGGUUUCUUUUCAUCAGUAUGGCAAAUAGCACAGUCCCAUGCUAAAUAAAUAAUCGGAUCAUAAUUUAAGUCCUACUUUUUUUCCCUUGAAAUUGAUACUGUGAUUAUUCUUUAUUUUUAUUCUCAAGUAUAACAUAUCAACUUAAAAUUUUACAAACUAAUAAAACCCAAACCUCAGCCUUCCUAUCCGUGAGUGUCAGGCUCAAGAAAUUCAAAGUCUGGAAAUGGAAAUUUUGCAAAGCAUGAGCACCUGAAAUGGAAAUUCCCAAACCUGCUUAAUAGGGCCUUCAAGAGAGGUGCUUCUUUCUUAAGGUGCAGUAUACUGCAGUGCUUGUCUUACAGCUAUGUUAAACAUUUCUCCUUACUCGUUUAUGCCAUUAAUGUGUAUUUUCUCGGAUAAUCUGCAUCCCAACAAUCAGAGCCACAGUCAGAAGAAUCUUCAAAUGACAAAAAAAAAAAAAUGUCAACUUGAAAAGCAGAAGGAGUCACAUCAAACAAUGGUGAGUGUGACCUGAGAGUUAGAGACUGGGACACAUUCAGCAGAACAUUGUGACAAGUCCCAGCAAGCUCAACACAAUGACAAAUACAAUUUGUUCCUUGUAAUCCACAUUGAUAUUAAUUUACAAGUUUUUUCAGGCUUACAUUGUACAUUGAUGAUUUUUUUUUUAAUGCAUAGAAAAACUUCAGCAUAUUUUCAGAGUCUGGAUUUGAAGAAGACAACAAACCCCAAAUUAUUUCCAUCAAAUACUUCCAUAUUCAUAUAAGGACAAAGUAAAAGUUUCCAUCUGAAUGUAGCUCAUACCUGAGUUCCUCAAAUUGUUCCCCAGGGUGUGUAAAGGUACCGCCUUUAGUGGCAGGUUUGGUGGCAUUCACCUGUGUACCACUUCAUAAUGGUUUAUGUUCUGCUGGCAACAGAAACAUGACACAGGUGGGUAGCUCUGCCUU